UAUCCUCUUAGCUUUACCACCUCCAUAUCCACUAUAGAGGAAUACAAGCAUUUAUAUGCUUUUGCUAUCCUUAACAUAGUGGUAUCAGAGCUAGUUAGUCUGGCAGUAGAAAAUAGACAACUAGCUAUCCCUCAUCUUAUCCACAAUAAUUUUGAGAAAUAUACUAUAUAAAUGAAAAUACUGUUUGGAUUCCAAGAUAUUUGGGA
RNAcentral lists this long non-coding RNA (206 nucleotides) under Elaeis guineensis (African oil palm). RNAcentral describes it as "long non-coding RNA (EGUI_LNC067387)". The record is from RNAcentral. Lineage: Eukaryota; Viridiplantae; Streptophyta; Magnoliopsida; Arecales; Arecaceae.